UCAACCUCAGAUCAAGUAGGAUUACCCGCUGAACUUAAGCAUAUCAAUAAGCGGAGGAAAAGAAACCAACAGGGAUUGCCUAAGUAACGGCGAGUGAAGCGGCAAAAGCUCAAAUUUGAAAUCGGCCUCCAGGUCGAGUUGUAAUUUGUAGAUUGUAUCUUGAGAGCGGAUUAAAGUCUGUUGGAACACAGCGCCUUAGAGGGUGACAGCCCCGUAAAAUCUAUUCUCAUUGUAAGAUACUUUCGAAGAGUC
This 252-nucleotide ribosomal RNA is filed under the name uncultured eukaryote. RNAcentral describes it as "partial 28S ribosomal RNA". It matches the Rfam family "Eukaryotic large subunit ribosomal RNA", at positions 1 to 266 of the family's 3401-position model. The record is from RNAcentral.